This is a non-coding RNA of Pelodiscus sinensis (Chinese soft-shelled turtle), 2234 nucleotides long. Lineage: Eukaryota; Metazoa; Chordata; Testudines; Trionychidae. The record is from RefSeq and is a predicted model, not a curated record.
GAUGCAUUUCAUCAGGACCUGGUGACUUGCUGACAUCUAACUUUCCUAAGUGAUUUUUAACUUGUUGGUGAAUAAACUAUUCACCCUGUCACCCAGCUCAAAUUAUCUCCUCUUGAAUGUAACUCUGUGCAAGUCACUUGGACAACAGACAUGUAAAGAAGCUAUACCGCUUCCCAAGGUAUUGCUUUUGUGCUUUAAACAAAAAGAUGUUGAAAAUCAUUAAGAUUUACUUACUCACUGUUUCCUGUCCACCACAUACUCCGUCAAAUUGAGCUCUCAGUGGAGUAGUUUGGCAGUGAUCAAAGCCAUAAGAAUGUUUUGUUGGCUUACAAAUAAUAUUAACUUUGUUACCUAAUUUUCAGGAUCCGCCUGAGUGUUUGGGUUAGGUUCCCUCUCCUUGAGUCUGACAUUAAGACACAGCUGCACCAUGAUGAGAGUGGUGAAUAUUCUCAUUAUGGAGGUGAAACUAGACUUCCAUUAUAUCCCAGCAUUGAUCACGACACACAUCCCCAGUCAUUGCCUAAACUUUAAAAAGUCACACCCGUGACUCUAUUCUCAGCUGGCUGAUUUUUUUGAAAGUCUGAGACAAAAUGAACAAGGCGUGGCUUCAAAAAUUAGGUAUAUUUGUUUCCUUAGAAAUGCUCUUCGUUGCCUCUGGCUCAUGUCUCAAAACUGGCUUAUUCAGUUCUGUCUCCACUUGCACUUUUGUUACUAUGACUUACAUCACACAGGGGUGUGAUUAAGGCACCCUCCUCUGAGCUACGCUGACAGAUGCGCUGGUGCAGAGAGCACUACGUUGCUGGGAGAUGUUCUCCUUCUGAUGUAGCUACUGCUGCUUGUGGAAGAUGGCUUAGUUAUACUGACAGAAGAGCUCUCUGUCCCUAUAGUGCCAAUGCAAGCAAAGUUAGAGGUGCAUCUGCAUCAGUACAGCUUGAUCUUAGUUUAGAUAGUCCACUGUUGUUGUAAAUGUCUUGGUCUUGCCAAGUGUUUGUGUUUCUACGUGGUAGUUAUAUAGCCUUGAUGUCCUUGAACAAAACUUACCUGAACAUCUGGAAGUUGUAUGGUCCCAUGCAAGCUGUAUGCUCCCUGCAAGGCUGAUGCCAGAACAUCUGCAUUGGCUAGCAGCCAAACUAACCUGCCCUGUUGUAUGCUCAGUAAGGGAGAUGAGUUUCUGGCAGGUCCAUUGAAAUACCAUGUGUUCCCAUAGCUGUGUCCCUCUUCAUUUCCAUGGUGACUACCUUUAGGGCAGUCAGAGUUUCACAGUGUAGUUCUGAAACCUGCAUCUCUUGUGCUUACUUGACUGGGAAUUUGGGUGCACCAGGUCUGAAUCCAGCCUUUUGCCCUUACUUCCCUCCCCCAUCCCACAUGCUUGGACUGGGGGCUAGUCUCACCCAUGGGUUCAAGUUAGAGCAGCUCUUGCACUAUGGUAACUUCUUAUGGCUGGAACAAUUCUGUAGGGACUAUUUUUUUUUAUUAUUUUUUUUAAACUACCAAGGACCAACAGAAUGUAGCAUAUUCCUCUCCCAUCCCUGACAUGUCCCUAGCUCCAAGCAGGCAUCAUAGAAUCAGACAUGCUGGCUUUGCAGCAUUGAGGGAGUCUCCAAAUGCCCCUCAGGCUGCUUGAAGUCCCUACUGCUUGUCUCACUGCAGUAAUCCUACAUCGCCACUGCAGACACCUAGAGCAGCACAUGAUGUCUUAAAAAACCCAUGAUGCACAAGCCAUAAGCUAAGCCAAUCCCAGAGGGGUGGGGCAAGGCUCCCAAACCUAAAGCUUGUGUGUGUGUAUGUGGGGGUGGUGGGGAGACUAGAACCCUGUAGUUCUAAACAGCAUGGAAAGCUCAAGUAACCUAGGAUAAAGUUUUAAUCUUUUAACUUGUCUCAUAUAACCCUUUUGCCUCUUCUCAGAUAUGAAGGCAACGUACAGGCGCACCAGACAUGAUCAUCAGCACCAUGGGCCCCCAGCAGCUUCCUUUUGGUGCCUCCAAUAAAGACCAUGUUGGGCAUCACAGGUCUGGGAUACUCAAACACAAAGUCGUACCUCAGGAGCCAAAUGGAUGCCUUGCUGAAGAGUUCCAGGACUGUUACCUGUCUCUGAAGAAACUCAGAAGCUAGUCUCUCAUAUUCUGAAUAGAACAGGUGCAACGACGACAAUCUCAUGUCCUUUGAGCCUAAGCGCAUCCAGCACAGCCCGCAUGCUGAGCCAGUGACUUCCAUCCAUCGGCACCACAAGCAGC